This 900-nucleotide ribosomal RNA is filed under the name uncultured archaeon. Its description in RNAcentral is "bacterial SSU rRNA". It matches the Rfam family "Archaeal small subunit ribosomal RNA", at positions 455 to 1354 of the family's 1478-position model. The record is from RNAcentral.
GUGCCAGCAGCCGCGGUAAAACCAGCACCUCAAGUGGUCAGGAUGAUUAUUGGGCCUAAAGCAUCCGUAGCCGGCUCUGUUAGUUUUCGGUUAAAUCUAUAUGCUCAACAUAUAGGCUGUCGGGAAUACUACAAAGCUAGGGAGUGGGAGAGGUAGACGGUACUCCGUAGGAAGGGGUAAAAUCCUUUGAUCUAUGGAUGACCACCAGUGGCGAAGGCGGUCUACCAGAACACGUUCGACGGUGAGGGAUGAAAGCUGGGGGAGCAAACCGGAUUAGAUACCCGGGUAGUCCCAGCUGUAAACUAUGCAAACUCGGUGAUGCAUUGGCUUGUGGCCAGUGCAGUGCCGCAGAGAAGUCGUUAAGUUUGCCGCCUGGGAAGUACGUACGCAAGUAUGAAACUUAAAGGAAUUGGCGGGGGAGCACCACAAGGGGUGAAGCCUGCGGUUCAAUUGGAGUCAACGCCAGAAAUCUUACCCGGAGAGACAGCAGAAUGAAGGUCAAGUUGAAGCCUUUACCAGACAAGCUGAGAAGUGGUGCAUGGCCGUCGCCAGCUCGUGCCGUGAGGUGUCCUGUUAAGUCAGGUAACGAGCGAGAUCCUUGCCUCUAGUUGCCACCAUUACUCUCAGGAGUAGUGGGGCGAAUUAGCGGGACUGCCGUAGUUAAUACGGAGGAAGGAGAGGGCCACGGCAGGUCAGUAUGCCCUGAAACUCUGGGGCCACACGCGGGCUGCAAUGGUAGUGACAAUGUGUUCCGAAUCCGAAAGGAGGAGGUAAGCCUCAAACGCUACCACAGUUAUGACUGAGGGCUGCAACUCGCCCUCACGAAUAUGGAAUCUCUAGUAACUGCGUGUCAUUAUCGCGCGGUGAAUACGUCCCUGCUCCUUGCACACACUGCCCGUC